Long non-coding RNA from Tachyglossus aculeatus (Australian echidna), 801 nucleotides. RefSeq lists it as uncharacterized. The transcript is spliced from 2 exons. The record is from RefSeq and is a predicted model, not a curated record. NCBI's taxonomy places the organism in Eukaryota, Metazoa, Chordata, Mammalia, Monotremata, Tachyglossidae.
AACCCACGACCUCUGACUCCCAAGCCCGGGCCCUUUCCGCCGAGCCACGCCGCUUCUCGAAAAGACAGCGGUGUAGAGCUGUAGAGCCGUACAGCGGACGUGGACAAUGUGAGGUUGGUGAGAUAUUCCUCCAGAGAAGACAAAUCGUCCAGGUGGAUCACGGCAGCGUCGAUGACCAGCAUGACCUGGGAGGGGAGAGGAGCGGAGUCAGCGGGAGGAAGGUCCCUGCCCCUGCCAUCUCCCCAGAGGUGGCUGUUGGACCCGGGCCCCGGUGGCCCACCUUCCCGGAUCCGGCCCGCACGCCUCGCUCCCCAGUCCACUUCCCGCGCCUCCGCUGCAUUCCCCUCACCCGCGUCCUCCCUCCCGCUGCGUGUCUGACGGACCACGGCUCACCCCACCUUCCGAAUCCGAAAAUCCCAUCCCUGCGGGAAAGUCGGGCCUCGUCUGCCCCGUCCACCCUCCCCUCUGCGUCGCUGCACUUGAUAUUCACCCUUCCCGCCGCGUUCACGAACAGGUCCUCAUAGUCGCCAUUUCCCCUUUCUGGAAGUUAUUUUCGUGUCUGUCUCCUCUUGUAGACUGUAAGCUCCUUACGGGAAGGGCUCGCGUCUACCAACCUCAACGUACUCUCCUCUACCACGCACUCAAUAGGUACCACUGAUUGAAGGGCGAUAAAGAGCCCAUUGUUGGGUAGGGACUGUCUCUAUAUGCUACCGAUUCGUACUUCCCGAGCGUUUAGUACACACAGCAAGCGCUACUCACUAAACACAGUAAGCGCUCAAUAAAUACGAUUGAAUGAAUGAA